GACGAACGCUGGCGGCGUGCUUAACACAUGCAAGUCGAACGGAACGUCCCUGCUUUUGUGGGGUGCUCGAGUGGCGAACGGGUGAGUAACACGUGAGUAACCUGCCCUUGACUUUGGGAUAACUUCAGGAAACUGGGGCUAAUACCGGCUAGGAGCUCCUGCUGCUUGGUGGGGGUUGGAUAGUUUCGGCGGUUGGGGAUGGACUCGCGGCUUAUCAGCUUGUUGGUGGGGUAGUGGCUUACCAAGGCUUUGACGGGUAGCCGGCCUGAGAGGGUGACCGGCCACAUUGGGACUGAGAUACGGCCCAGACUCCUACGGGAGGCAGCAGUGGGGAAUAUUGCACAAUGGGCGGAAGCCUGAUGCAGCAACGCCGCGUGCGGGAUGACGGCCUUCGGGUUGUAAACCGCUUUCGCCUGUGACGAAGCGUGAGUGACGGUAAUGGGUAAAGAAGCACCGGCUAACUACGUG
RNAcentral lists this ribosomal RNA (468 nucleotides) under uncultured bacterium. Its description in RNAcentral is "partial 16S ribosomal RNA". It matches the Rfam family "Bacterial small subunit ribosomal RNA", at positions 28 to 507 of the family's 1533-position model. The record is from RNAcentral.